GACGAACGCUGGCGGCGUGCCUAAUACAUGCAAGUAGAACGCUGAAGAGAGGAGCUUACUCUUCUUGGAUGAGUUGCGAACGGGUGAGUAACGCGUAGGUAACCUGCCUUGUAGCGGGGGAUAACUAUUGGAAACGAUAGCUAAUACCGCAUAACAAUGGAUGACACAUGUCAUUUAUUUGAAAGGGGCAAUUGCUCCACUACAAGAUGGACCUGCGUUGUAUUAGCUAGUAGGUGAGGUAAUGGCUCACCUAGGCGACGAUACAUAGCCGACCUGAGAGGGUGAUCGGCCACACUGGGACUGAGACACGGCCCAGACUCCUACGGGAGGCAGCAGUAGGAAAUCUUCGGCAAUGGGGGCAACCCUGACCGAGCAACGCCGCGUGAGUGAAGAAGGUUUUCGGAUCGUAAAGCUCUGUUGUAAGUCAAGAACGGGUGUGAGAGUGGAAAGUUCACACUGUGACGGUAGCUUACCAGAAAGGGACGGCUAACUACGUG
RNAcentral lists this ribosomal RNA (497 nucleotides) under uncultured bacterium. RNAcentral describes it as "partial 16S ribosomal RNA". It matches the Rfam family "Bacterial small subunit ribosomal RNA", at positions 28 to 507 of the family's 1533-position model. The record is from RNAcentral.